RNAcentral lists this non-coding RNA (108 nucleotides) under human gut metagenome. Its description in RNAcentral is "THF riboswitch". It matches the Rfam family "THF (Tetrahydrofolate) riboswitch aptamer". From Rfam's summary of the family: THF riboswitch presents a pseudoknot that joins P1-P2 and the loop of P3 and two THF binding. The record is from RNAcentral.
CAGAGUAGAGCGCUGCGCGUUAAGUGCUCCUCGGACGGAGAGUUGCCGAGGGGACGAAAAGCGAGGUAUUUUGCCAUUCGCUUGCGGUGCAGCUCUCGCAUCUCGCUG